CCUACGGGCGGCAGCAGUGGGGAAUAUUGCACAAUGGGCGCAAGCCUGAUGCAGCCAUGCCGCGUGUGUGAAGAAGGCCUUCGGGUUGUAAAGCACUUUCAGCGGGGAGGAAGGCGGUGAGGUUAAUAACCUCAUCGAUUGACGUUACCCGCAGAAGAAGCACCGGCUAACUCCGUGCCAGCAGCCGCGGUAAUACGGAGGGUGCAAGCGUUAAUCGGAAUUACUGGGCGUAAAGCGCACGCAGGCGGUCUGUCAAGUCGGAUGUGAAAUCCCCGGGCUCAACCUGGGAACUGCAUUCGAAACUGGCAGGCUAGAGUCUUGUAGAGGGGGGUAGAAUUCCAGGUGUAGCGGUGAAAUGCGUAGAGAUCUGGAGGAAUACCGGUGGCGAGGGCGGCCCCCUGGACAAAGACUGACGCUCAGGUGCGAAAGCGUGGGGAGCAAACAGGAUUAGAUACCCUAGUAGUC
Molecule: ribosomal RNA, 465 nt
Filed under: uncultured Klebsiella sp.
Lineage: Bacteria; Pseudomonadati; Pseudomonadota; Gammaproteobacteria; Enterobacterales; Enterobacteriaceae
Description: bacterial SSU rRNA
Rfam family: Bacterial small subunit ribosomal RNA
Source: RNAcentral